This 513-nucleotide ribosomal RNA is filed under the name uncultured bacterium. Its description in RNAcentral is "partial 16S ribosomal RNA". It matches the Rfam family "Bacterial small subunit ribosomal RNA", at positions 28 to 523 of the family's 1533-position model. The record is from RNAcentral.
GAUGAACGCUGGCGGCGUGCCUAAUACAUGCAAGUCGAGCGAACAGAUGAGAAGCUUGCUUCUCUGAUGUUAGCGGCGGACGGGUGAGUAACACGUGGGUAACCUACCUAUAAGACUGGGAUAACUCCGGGAAACCGGGGCUAAUACCGGAUAAUAUUUUGAACCGCAUGGUUCAAUAGUGAAAGACGGUUUCGGCUGUCACUUAUAGAUGGACCCGCGCCGUAUUAGCUAGUUGGUAAGGUAACGGCUUACCAAGGCGACGAUACGUAGCCGACCUGAGAGGGUGAUCGGCCACACUGGAACUGAGACACGGUCCAGACUCCUACGGGAGGCAGCAGUAGGGAAUCUUCCGCAAUGGGCGAAAGCCUGACGGAGCAACGCCGCGUGAGUGAUGAAGGUCUUCGGAUCGUAAACUCUAUUGUUAGGGAAGAACAAAUUUGUUAGUAACUGAGCAAGUCUUGACGGUACCUAACCAGAAAGCCACGGCUAACUACGUGCCAGCAGCCGCCGUAA